RNAcentral lists this unclassified non-coding RNA (592 nucleotides) under Hevea brasiliensis (rubber tree). Lineage: Eukaryota; Viridiplantae; Streptophyta; Magnoliopsida; Malpighiales; Euphorbiaceae. The record is from RNAcentral.
GCGCCAUUGUCUUGAGCGUGCUGAUAAAAACCUACCCUUCAAAAAAGACCUACCUUUCAAAAGCCCAUAUAGAUGCAAGGGGGCCUUGCAGAUGCUUGCAGUACGUCUUCUAUUGGCAUAUGCGUUUCUAGCAAUACUUUUCGGAAUGGGGAUGAUGUUCAAGAAUACUCUCAAAGCCAAAGUUGCCUCAAUUCCCGAUUCACAGGUAUCACAAUCACAUAUGGACAUAGAUUGGCAUGCAAAUACCGUUGAUUCUGCACCCAAUCUUCAGCCUGAGGCAAUGCAACCACAUGUAGAAGUAGAGUGUCAUGCAAGUGAGGUUGAUUCUGUUCCCAAUAUUCACCCUGAGGCCCCCCAAUCAGAUGAAAACUUAGAUUGUCGUGCAAGUGAGGUUGAUACUGUGUGCGAUCUUCACCCUGAGGCCCACCAAUCAGAUGAGAACUUAGAUUGUCAUGCAAGUGAGGUUGAUUCUGUUCCCAAUAUUCACCCUGAGGCCCCCCAAUCAGAUGAAAACUUAGAUUGUCGUGCAAGUGAGGUUGAUACUGUGUGCGAUCUUCACCCUGAGGCCCACCAAUCAGAUGAGAACUUAGAU